UACGCCACAGUGUGCAUCACACUUUUGACACCAAUAUUUGCAAUAGUACAAAUAAAAUAUAAGCAUGGUUGAAUUAUGGAACAAAAUCCAGAACAGAAAAUAUUGUUCUUUUUGGUCCAAAGCAGAAAAUGCAUUGUACUGUAUAGUCACUUAGAAAAGACUUGAGGUCUUCCUGUACAUACAUGAAAGUGGGCACUUGGACCUCUGGAGGAUUGCACUUACAAAAUAUCAACCUGGAAAGAACCCUGUCCCACAUUUGGGCACAAUGUGAUCGUAGUAUUACUCCACCAUGGCUGAAAAAUUGCUCAAUCUCAGGUGCUUGACAUAAUUAGGGCUGGAUUCAUUGCUAAUAACACACCAUUGCAAAAGCUUGACUCUACGGUCAUUGAACCAUUUUCAUGUUCAUUUGAUGGUGUCAGGUCCUGGCUGGGGGCCUCUAGGCCUUUCUAUGUGCCUGCGGGUCACAGCCAGGGCCUGACCAAAGAAAUGCUUCUAGGACGAUGAGCAACUGCCGCAUCCUCUCCACCGGUGCCCCGCCCUCUCCCCCCCUUGGCUGUUCCGCGUCUUGCGAUCAGGAGCACGUGCCUUUGGAGGGGUACUGUCAUGUCCUGGCUGGGGGCCUCUAGGCAUCUCUGCACUGUUGUCUUUGAUUGUCCCCAGAUAGAGGCAACUGCCCCGCAUUGCCUCUAAUUGGGAACCUUUUUUAGGUUGUGGAUCAUUGUUUGUGUUGUGUUUGCACUCAAUUCGCAGGUUGCUGCUCCUUUAGUUAUUUUUUUGUGCUAUCAUAUAAGGAUGAUUCCCUUUACCUUGUGUCCUGUUUAGCUACAACCGUGACAGGUGGUUUGGUUUUGUUCAUUGUUCUGCUUAAAGAUUAAAAAAUGACCCAGUUUUAGCUUCUUGGCAGAUUUAUGAGGUUUGGGCCUAAAAUCCCCUGGUACUUGAUGGGUCCAUGUUGCUAUGUAGACUUAUUUGAUUCCCAGGGCCUUUGGAAGUAAAAUUGCCCUGACAGUGCAGGUACCUAUGUUUGUGUAGCUGACUUAUGAAUCCCCAAAUGGGAUUCUUGGAGAUGUUUAUGUCACUUGAACCAUCCUUCUCACCAAAUCUUCUUAAUUAUUGCCCUAACAGUGGGGAUGUUAUUUUUAGGUGUAUUGCUGUCUUUUCAUAGCCAUUGCUUGAUUUGUAAACAUCAAAAACCUAUUGUCUUUUUUCAUUUGUGUGUUUUAAGGCCUUUUUCCAAGUUGAUGGAUAACUAAGGAAGUUGAGCCUGUGUCACUUCAUAUUUAUACCCCAGUGAAACAGGGUGUCAUGAAUGACCAAAGAAUCAGAUGAACUUCAUAAUGUGAAAUCUAAAUUGAUAUACACCAAUUAGAUGGUCAAUGAUUGUGGUGUGCAUUUGUUUGAAGAAAAAAAUUAUCGAGAUUUUUUUUCUUUAAAAAUGUUUACUCAGUUAAUGGUGCAAUUUACAUUAUAUAUAUCAAAUAUAACAUGAAGUUGAUUAACAACUAUGACAUUCUUUCAUAGCCUUUUUUGUUGAAAUGUACUUAGGGUGCCAAUCAUUCUAGAUGGGAGUUUAUUGCAUUGGCUGGUUAAUGGUGAGUUAGUGGCUGACUUUUAUCUAUUAAUUGACUUCAUUUGGCGUAGUCCUUUUGACAAUGGAGUCAAAAUGUCAGCCUGUAGUGUUUUGUGCAGACAGAAUAGGCAGGGCUUUCUCACAGUCUGGGGAUAUGUUAUCUCAGGUGUAAAAAUAGCUGGAGGCUGAAAUAACACAUGUCAUUUAACAAUUUAGAUGUUGCAAUUCUGUUGUGGGAGAAAUGGAUUGAGUUAUAAUGCCAGCUCUAGGUAAAACCAGGAAGGAGGAAGAAGACUACAACAGAAAGGAGCAGAUCGGGAGGGAAUUUUGUUUCCAGUUAGUCAAACAGUAUCAAUCAUCACCAAACCAGUUUCCUCCACUUACACCAGUAAUAAUGGUUAGGUCUGUGUAACCUUAGUAACCCCCCAACAGUUUACUUUGUUCUUGUCAGCACCACUUACAGGGCCAAACUAUUUUCAAGCUUUUCUUUAAUAUUGGCUACGUCAGGUUAAUUUAUGGGUGAGGGUGACACUGAGAAACUAGAUAAUAAGUGUUCUAAGAAAUUAUUUGAUUUCAUUAAGUACUUUGGUAGAUUUGGAGGUUGUAAGUCUUUUGCUCCUUCAGUUUUGGUUCCUUAAUAGAGGGUUGGGGGGGUCUAAUGUUUACAUAGCUGGAACAUUUAUCACAGAGCUAUGGAAGGGGGAGGUUCUUCCCAGUUACCUGUUGAUAUUAUUGAAAAUCAGCUGGAAGACCCGGACUUAGUUUUGGAGAAUCAGGAGCUUAAAGAAGAAAAGGACAGAUCCAGGGUUUCACUUGUUUUUGGGGAGCAUAUUGACAGUUCCAGCUGCAUACAUUCUAGUGAGUCUCCUGUGAGGUGGAGGAAAGCCAGGACGAUACCGCUACUAGUUCCCCUCCAGUGGUGCUCAGCAUUUCAGAAAGGUGGAGUUGGGGAACAUGGUUGAUUGUUCUAAUGGGUUUGCUGAAGUUGUGGUUUUUGACUAGUUAUGGUUGUUCUCUCAUUGCUGGAUUACAUAUCAGAUUUUUGUGUUAACCUCUAGUGGCUGACUAUAGAUUGUAGCUAGAUGGUUGUGACUAUGGGCCUUGUGAAUGAAGAUGGGCUAGACCAGGAGGGGUUACUGGUUGUCACAGGAUUCAUUAACUACUUUCAACUACAGUAUUUGCAGUAUACACAUUGGUCUCUUCGAUAACGGAUGUUUUACGGAAAAUAAAAAGACACAUUUAUAGAAAUGUCGAGCAUUCUGGUAAAUAGGCAGUCUACUAGUCACUAGGUGAGGUUGUUUGUUGUUUGGGGAUGUUUGAACAUAAAACACACUAUCCAAGAAAUUAUCCCACACUCCAUCCCCCCCUGGUGGCAGCAAGAACCAGGUCUAGGAGCUUUGCUGUCAAACCUUGAUAAUGACAUCAAAUUAAAGCAAUUAGUUGAUUGUCAGUCAGUGUACAGGCUUGCAGAGACUUUGUUUUUACUGGUCAUGAAGCUUUUCAUUUUUUGUUAAGCUGUUAGUUUGGACAUUUUGUAUGUUUUCCCAUAUCUGAAUCUGCUUGGACUGGCCCACCAACAGCGAAAAAAGGAGCUGGUCCAAAGUUUCAGCUAAGAUGGGUUUCCUGGGUACAUCCAUUCAACUCUUAAUUGCAUAUGAGAUGAAGUACCUUACAUUUAUUAGCACAUCAAAUCUGAUUAUAAACCAAGUAGCUAGGUCUAAAACCCCUAGACAUAACAAGUGCAGCAGAAUUUAAUAGAUUGGGAAAACUACAGUAAAUCAUAACAGACCAGGGAUAGGCUACUAACAUAUUUUCAAGAUUCAAAUGGUUUGCUGUAAUUGCCAUUCCAUUUUAUCUUCACAAGUUCGAGCAAUGUAAAAUACAAAU
Molecule: long non-coding RNA, 3457 nt
Organism: Esox lucius (northern pike)
Lineage: Eukaryota; Metazoa; Chordata; Actinopteri; Esociformes; Esocidae
Source: Ensembl